This 5719-nucleotide long non-coding RNA is filed under the name Taeniopygia guttata (zebra finch). Its description in RNAcentral is "lncRNA (ENSTGUG00000025291.1)". The record is from RNAcentral. Lineage: Eukaryota; Metazoa; Chordata; Aves; Passeriformes; Estrildidae.
CAACCUGUUGUUAUGGUGUCAUGCUCCACUUCAGAAAGAUAACAGCAAGUCUUCAUGUCUCACGUGCUUUUGCAAUAGUUUUCCUGCUGUGACUCACUUAGUUUUCAUAUCUUCAAAGAGGCUAUCUAAUUUGUGAGGCCUGAUUCUCCUUUUGUAAGUCUACACUAAUUGCACUUACAAAGAAUAGCAUCCUUGGGUAGUACUGGAAUUUAUUCUCUUGAUAAGAUACUUGCUUUGAAUAUGUGCUACUGAUACUGUGCUACUCAUGCAUGGAAAUGUUCGCAUGCCCUGGUUAAGGCCCACUUGGCUGUUUUGUCACAAUCAAUAAAAAAUGAUGCAUCUUUUUUGCAGUACAGAGUUCACCAACCUGCUAAAUCAAACACUAUCUUAUGCUAUUAAAUCAGGCAAUUAGGUGCUUGCUUUAUUGUAUUGUGCAAUGUGUGUACACAAGAUUAUGUAUUCUGGUCAGUGAUUCAGGGGAAUGAAAAGCAGCAGAUCAAGGUUCAAAAUCCACUAGUAACAAUGAGGGUCUCCCCAAGAUUCCACACUUGCUAAACACAUGCCAUUCAUUUCAAACUCACCAGCUCCAGUAAGAAGCAGAGUUUAAGUAUCCCAUUUUACUAACAGAGGUGCAUGGCUUCCUGCUAGACCAGAGUGUAAUGCUGUGAAAAUGGAGCUCACCAGUGUUGACCUACCCUAAGUUACAGAAUUUAUAACUACUUACUUUGUUUCUCCAUAUAAUCUCAAAAAAUUCUUCACAGGGUUGCUGCUUACUUCUGUUUAAUUGCUUAUUUCUGAAUGCUAUUCUUGUAGUCAGAAACAGAGCCCCUCACCCUCAGCGCUCAAAACCAGAAGUAAAGUGAACUUAAUAAACCAGAAAUGUUAAUGUAACUGGUUUCAGAUUCAUAGCCUGCUAUACUUCAUAAUCUAGUAGUGUUUUCUUUCAAACUGGCAAGCCCAGGCUGGUAACUAACAUAGCUUUGAACAAGGCCAAAUUUUCCUCUGCUCUAACAGGAGUUUCCAAAUAUUCAGUACCUCUAAAAGGCAUACCCAACUCAGAUAUUCAAAAUCAGGUUGCCUUAGAAGCUGGAUUCUAGCUCUCUUACUGCUUCAAUUUUCCCAAUUGUAAAAUUAAAAUUAUGAGUUCACUUUAUUAUUAACAAAUAAAUAUGAAAUGCACUCAAUGACCUCCAAUCUUUGGGAAAGUUUUGAUCUGUAGUCCUAUAUACUUUGUAACUAGAUGAUCUUUAAGGUCCCUUCUAACCCAAACUAUCCUAUGAUUAUGUGAUUUUAUACUCUGGAUCUAAUUAGAACUCUUACAGUUUUUCUUACAACUGGAGGGGGAAAAGUUUUCUUAAUCUGAGUAAGAAAGUAUUCUUCAUCUAACUAACUAACCAAAAGUCCUAAUUUAAGGAAAAAUGUUUGUAGAUUUCAUGUCAGUGAAAUAGUGUAAGAAGUGUGAUAGUUAAACUGUAGAUUUGUGUGAAAAUUAUACCUUCAUUGACUGUACCAUCAGUAGGCAAAUCUAAGAAUACUUCUUUCCUUUUAUUAUUACGAGCAUGUGGAAAACUCUUUCCCAAUCUCUUUGUCUUUGUUUUGCUAUAUGAGGUUACUUCUUCCUUAGAUUUAUUGGCAAAGGACUUCCUGAGAGUGUUUCUUAAUUUAGUCCUGGCAAGAUAAAUCUAGCUAAACUUGCCUUAACAGGUUCAAGGCAGAUAACGAGCAACUUGCAUGUGGACAUGGGAUGAUGUUUCUCAAUGUUCUGUUAUCUGAAGUUCAAGGAAAGCUAGUAAAACAGGUAGAUGCCAAAGGUUGUUCUUUGCCAGCUUCUGUUUCCUCUUAAAAAAACAGAAGAGCGUACAUCAACAAGUCCACAAAAGUCCAAACCUGCAACAGAAACUGAAAUGGAGUCCAGAAGGAGAAAGAAAGCACUUAGGAUAAAAAAAUAGUAUCUGCAUAAAUGUAGUUGAAUUUCUGAAAGUGAUAGAAAUUCAGCAUUUAUACUAUUUUGUUAUGUAUAUUCUGAGGGUUAAAAAAUCUGUUCCUCUUUCCCACGUGCCCACCAGGGCAGGAUUCUGUCACUCGUGAACCUUCAGAAUUUGGAUAGGUCAGCAAUUACUCAUCUUAAAGUAUCCACUUGUAUCAAGUUCACAAAUCAUUAAUGGAUAAUAAUGCCUCAUUGAUUAUGGAGAGAAGCAAUUAUAUUUGUUUGAGGGUAUGAUGAUAAUAUUCUGAAACCUGUACAAGGUUCACUGAAGAGGAACUGAAAGGCAUUUUAAUAAACAAAACUACUAAGUUCUUAUUUCUCUGAUGCCCUGGCAGGUUAAAUGCAGAGACAAAAUGGUACAAAGAAAUAGAGAAGAAAUUGCUACUUUAACAUUUCCCACAAGUCUCCUGUUCUGUAGACAGAGAUGUCAACACCUUCUCAGAUCUGCCAAAGGAGAGAAUUGUGUAAUGCUCCCCAGCCUGUGUCCAUCAAAUUACACCUGCUUAUUUCAGAUAGUUUAAAUAACAUUGUUAACUCAUCUCACAUUGCCUCACAUGGGUUAAUGAAUGAAUAAUUUGCACAAGAAGAUCAACCUCUAGAUCUGAAACCCUUGUAACUUAGGGGAGAAUAACAAUCUGUUCCAUCAGCAUUAGUGAAACAGAAAGCUGUAUCUUCUCUGUACAAUACUGUAACCAUGCAGUAAAAUCAUCCCAGAAGAGAACUUUGAAGAAUUACGUUCUCACCAAAGUAUAGUUUUAUACAUUAAUAGUCUCCCAGAUUUUAAUUUUGAAACAGCUGGAAUGAGGGCUUGGCACAGCAUCCUGAUACUUUCUUUGUAAAGCCCUGUUCUGUAACCAAAUGAACAAUAGGUACUGAGCCUACAAAAAACUCUGCAGUAAGACAGUGAAACUGUGAUCAUAGAAGAUCCCAGGACUAAAAGCCAGCUUGAAUUAUGUGUGCAGAACAAGGUCAUUUUUUGGAACUUCAUCUUCCAUUCCAACAAAGGAACAUAUAAAGAACAAAGAAGGGUAGAACACAAAAGUGUAGAAUGUAAUGGAAUGAUCAAGACCAUCAGGCUCUUUUGUGGAACAUAUUAAUGGCAGGUGAAACUGAAAAUGGACUAUUUUGGUGGAUUUUUUUUUUAAUAUCUCUUUCCUUAGAUAAUCCUCGAUAUUCCUGGAAGGCAUAUGUACCUUUGGUACAUAUGUACCUUUGUGUCAAUUACAAACUGUUAUAUUUCCUCUCUUUGAGCAACAGUUUUCUACAACCAGACUGAAAUCUGGUUCCUACUUUUCUGGGUCUGGAGAGACACCUUUCAUUGUGCUGACUGUUAGGCAUGUUCACAAGCGCAGUUUUCUCCCAGGAUACCUAUCAGUAUGCCUGCUUCAAAUACCAAAACAAAUGUAAAAUUUUUACACACUAAUUAGUAUAAUAUGUACACUACUUACUGUGGCAAAUAGACUACAAAGCAGAAGACUAGAGAGGAGGAUUGUGAAUUGUUUAAGAGUGCCUGCAUGUCCAUUUUUAUACCUCUGCCCAGGUGUUGCUUUGGGGAUACACCAGUUCACAAAGUAAUAGAAAUUAAUUCACUCUUUGUGUUCAAGCCACAAGUUUGUAGCUGUUCCCUCUGCCUGCCUGUGUCAACUGACACACUAAUGUAUGCCAAUGUAAGUACUAUAAGUGCAUCCCUCCUCACAAGCUGACCAGGUUGUGAGUUCAAGAAAGUCUGAGGUCACCAUGAAGCACAGGCUGGCUACUCCAUAAAGGAGGACAGCUGGGAGCUGAAGGAGACCCCAGAAAUUUGCUAAGAGCCCAGGACAUUUGGCAAGGUCAAGGUCAUGAGACGGGGUUAGGGAAAGCCAGGAAUACAAGCCAGCAAUUCAGAAUUGGGACCAGGCAGUGUAAGGAUAAUAAAUGAUCACCAGACAGGACCAUAGUGAUGAAGAAGGUCCAAGGUUGGGAUGGGACAUCAUCCUGUGCCCUAGGGUCUGGACCCAGAUUAGCAGGCUAAAGGCCAGGCAUAGACAGGAUUGUGAUGCAGUAGCACCUGUAGCUCAGGUAGGAUCCAAUCACUUAGGUCAAUUCCCACAAGAAGGUAAGGACUUUCUGCGGUGCUGUCUGCAAAGGAGGUCUCUUGGAGGGAUCUUUCCAAGCUUACCAGAGAGAAGGGAUAGUCCUCAAUGAUAUUUAAUUAGCCCUGAGGUAGCCAAACCCCCAGGAGGAGAGAUGGUAUCAAGGCCCUUCAAAAAAGUGCAUUUCAUAGCUCCAGUAACCAACAAUCACUGAGAGGAGAAAAAAAACUAACUCAAAAGCUGAGAACUCUUUUUAUUUCUGUCAAGCCAACUUCUUGCUCCUUCUAGAUCGCUUUAGUUUUUACUUCUUCUACCAGAAAUUUAAGGUUUCUAUAUUUAAGUUUAAAAGCAGAAGGAUGAUACAAAGAGAAAACAGAAAUUAAUUCUCUAAGUUACUACAUGCCUGCUAAAAAAGGUAAGAGUUUGUCUCUUCCUUCAAGAGAUUAGGACAAUGGAUUUAUAAAUUCACCCCAGCUGCUUAGUAAGUAAAUAGUGUCAAGGCUGUGACUGCUCUUUCAAACAAGAAUGAUGACAGAUAGCCACUAACAAUUAUUUCAUUAAAGUUCUGCUAGCAUCACAUAAGAAUGAGCAACUAGAGACCUCUCCAAGUGAUUUUUCACUCAAAUCCCAGGAAGCAGGCAGUGAAUCUAAAGGCAUGCAAAGAUCCAUUUGAAUAGCCAUGCCCUUCCUACUCCAGCAGUGGGAGAGUUCCAGGGUAACUACUUGCUGAAAACGUUUUUUCUGAACGUCUGCAGACAUCUCCCUGUAAGGGAGGCGUCUCUCUUUAGUACCUAAGCAAGUGGAACCUACUUCAAUCUUUACAUACAAAAAUAUCUCUAGUCUUUUUUCUGAAGCCUACCAAAAGCAUAUGUUUCUUCAACUUUUCUUACUUUGUCACAAUCAGGUUUUAUUUGUACUAAGCAGGUAUGCUUUUGGUUUAGUCAGCAUUUCUGUUCUAGACUGCCUUUAAAAAACGCCAAAAAACAAACUAUAUCAUGUGAAGUUUAAACUUACUCUUUUAUACUCAAAACUUCAGUGUCUUUUUCCUUUGCUUUCCUCAGAACAAUUCAGCUAAUUGUGAAGUCUUCCUCUCAUAUGGAACCACUUUUUCUCAAAGUGAACAAUAGUGAGUCAGUGAGUCAGCAGACAACAAGCUUCCUAAGUGAAGUCAGCAGUCCGUAUUUCCUCUCUAUUCUGUAAUGCAGUGGGAUGUGUCAGACAAAGAUCGCCAGACUGCUGUAUGUAUUUACCAGAAUUGCUAAAUACUUCAUCUUUGACCUUACCUCUAGUUUCUCUUUCUUUUCUUUUUGUACACUUACAGUCUUUUGUAUUAAAGCCAACGCCCCUGAUUUCAAAAGUAAGGAAAAACAACAGAUUCACAAAUUAGGGUAUCUUCUCCCUCAUUUUGUUUUUUACUUGCUUAUCCCUCUGGUCAGUAACUACAUUUACACAAACAAUAAGGACAGAACUAGUCAGGUAGCAGAAAUCCAUUAAUUUAUUCCUCUAAAUAAUUAAUGUCAAUGCCUCACUUUUUGCUAAAUCCCUUUAGUAUGGCUUUUUUGUAAAGCUCUCUUUCUGAUAAAGCUGCAAACUUAUGGAGUAUCUGUCAGAAAACAGACAUGGAUUCCUUUACAGACAUGUAAUGUUUCUUAUAGCAGCU